AAGUCGUAACAAGGUUUCCGUAGGUGAACCUGCGGAAGGAUCAUUAUUGAGAGGAAGGCGUCCGCGCCUUCGCGGUGCAUCUGCACCCGACUCUUCACCCUCGUGCGUACCGACCAUCGUUGCUUUGGCGGGUAUGAAGGCCUUAUCCGCCCUCUAUCGAACCCCGCCGAAGACCCUUUUUUUAAGCCUUAUAUGAAUGCAGUCCGAGUCUUUUAAGCAAUCAAAAUUAAAAAAACUUUCAACAACGGAUCUCUUGGUUCUG
RNAcentral lists this unclassified non-coding RNA (262 nucleotides) under air metagenome. Its description in RNAcentral is "partial contains small subunit ribosomal RNA, internal transcribed spacer 1, and 5.8S ribosomal RNA". The stretch from base 1 to 46 matches the Rfam family "Eukaryotic small subunit ribosomal RNA", at positions 1786 to 1831 of the family's 1831-position model. The record is from RNAcentral.